Molecule: ribosomal RNA, 253 nt
Filed under: uncultured bacterium
Lineage: Bacteria
Description: partial 16S ribosomal RNA
Rfam family: Bacterial small subunit ribosomal RNA
Source: RNAcentral
AACGUAGGUCCCGAGCGUUAUCCGGAUUUACUGGGCGUAAAGCGUGUUCAGGCGGUCUAGCAAGUCGGGCAUGAAAUCUCUCGGCUCAACCGGGAGGGGUUGUCCGAUACUGCUGGGCUUGAGGGCAGCAGAGGGUGGUGGAAUUCCGGGUGUAGUGGUGAAAUGCGUAGAUAUCCGGAGGAACACCAGUGGCGAAGGCGGCCACCUGGGCUGUACCUGACGCUCAAACAUGAAAGCUAGGGGAGCGAACGGG